Molecule: ribosomal RNA, 1011 nt
Filed under: Salmonella enterica
Lineage: Bacteria; Pseudomonadati; Pseudomonadota; Gammaproteobacteria; Enterobacterales; Enterobacteriaceae
Description: partial 23S ribosomal RNA
Rfam family: Bacterial large subunit ribosomal RNA
Source: RNAcentral
GUAAACGGCGGCCGUAACUAUAACGGUCCUAAGGUAGCGAAAUUCCUUGUCGGGUAAGUUCCGACCUGCACGAAUGGCGUAAUGAUGGCCAGGCUGUCUCCACCCGAGACUCAGUGAAAUUGAACUCGCUGUGAAGAUGCAGUGUACCCGCGGCAAGACGGAAAGACCCCGUGAACCUUUACUAUAGCUUGACACUGAACAUUGAGCCUUGAUGUGUAGGAUAGGUGGGAGGCUUUGAAGUGUGGACGCCAGUCUGCAUGGAGCCGGCCUUGAAAUACCACCCUUUAAUGUUUGAUGUUCUAACGUGGACCCGUGAUCCGGGUUGCGGACAGUGUCUGGUGGGUAGUUUGACUGGGGCGGUCUCCUCCUAAAGAGUAACGGAGGAGCACGAAGGUUGGCUAAUCCUGGUCGGACAUCAGGAGGUUAGUGCAAUGGCAUAAGCCAGCUUGACUGCGAGCGUGACGGCGCGAGCAGGUGCGAAAGCAGGUCAUAGUGAUCCGGUGGUUCUGAAUGGAAGGGCCAUCGCUCAACGGAUAAAAGGUACUCCGGGGAUAACAGGCUGAUACCGCCCAAGAGUUCAUAUCGACGGCGGUGUUUGGCACCUCGAUGUCGGCUCAUCACAUCCUGGGGCUGAAGUAGGUCCCAAGGGUAUGGCUGUUCGCCAUUUAAAGUGGUACGCGAGCUGGGUUUAGAACGUCGUGAGACAGUUCGGUCCCUAUCUGCCGUGGGCGCUGGAGAACUGAGGGGGGCUGCUCCUAGUACGAGAGGACCGGAGUGGACGCAUCACUGGUGUUCGGGUUGUCAUGCCAAUGGCACUGCCCGGUAGCUAAAUGCGGAAGAGAUAAGUGCUGAAAGCAUCUAAGCACGAAACUUGCCCCGAGAUGAGUUCUCCCUGAGACUUUAGGUCUCCUGAAGGAACGUUGAAGACGACGACGUUGAUAGGCCGGGUGUGUAAGCGCAGCGAUGCGUUGAGCUAACCGGUACUAAUGAACCGUGAGGCUUAACCUUACA